GUAAACAAUAAGGGCGUACGGAGGAUGCCUUGACACUAAGAGGCGAUGAAGGAGGUGGCGUGACUGCCUUAAGCUUCGGGGAGCCGUCUAGCGGGCUUUGAUCCGGAGAUUUCCGAAUGGGGAAACCCAGCACAGUAAACCUGUGUUAUCUCGCGCAAGCGAGAUGCGUACCCGGUGAAGUGAAACAUCUCAGUAACCGGAGGAAAAGAAAUAGAAUAGAUCCCCUUAGUAGCGGCGAGCGAAAAGGGAACAGCCUAAACCUGUUGUUGGUUAGCAAUAAUUAAUGACGGGGGUUAUAGGGACAGUACAUUUUUUAAAUCAUGUAACAUGAAACAUGUAACAAUAAUAUGUUGCGUGUCGCGUGUUAUAUGAUUUGAAAUAGAAAGUUACAAAUCCGAGUGUUAGCAGAACGGCCCUGGAACGGCCGACCAAAGAAGGUGAUAGUCCUGUAAGCGAAAACAAUCGGACUUUCGUAUUGUUACCUGAGUAGCCCGAGAUAAGAAUGUCUUGGGUGAAUUUGUCCAUACUACUGGAUAAGGCUAAAUACUCUUAGUGAUCGAUAGUGAACAAGUACCGUGAGGGAAAGGUGAAAAGCACCCCGGUGAGGGGAGUGAAAUAGUAACUGAA
RNAcentral lists this ribosomal RNA (627 nucleotides) under Candidatus Yanofskybacteria bacterium RIFCSPHIGHO2_02_FULL_41_12. RNAcentral's name for it is "bacterial LSU rRNA". It matches the Rfam family "Bacterial large subunit ribosomal RNA", at positions 1 to 554 of the family's 2925-position model. The record is from RNAcentral. Lineage: Bacteria; Candidatus Yanofskyibacteriota.